Molecule: long non-coding RNA, 250 nt
Filed under: Lathyrus oleraceus (garden pea)
Lineage: Eukaryota; Viridiplantae; Streptophyta; Magnoliopsida; Fabales; Fabaceae
Description: Pisum sativum (pea) long non-coding RNA (PSAT_LNC037044)
Source: RNAcentral
AAAAAUUCAAAUUUCUGAAGUGGAAUCAGGUUUUUCCCACGUUGCUUUGAAAAAUAAUCUGGAUAUAAAAAAGAUCCUUAGAGUAAAUCCUUGGAUCUUUAGAAACGCAUGGCUCUCUGUCAAACCUUGGUCUCAAGAUUAUGUUCUCAAAAAGAUCAAUUUUCAAGGUUCCUAUUUGGGUUCAACUUUGGGGAAUUCCCUGGAAAAUGAGAUAUUCUUAAAUGGGAGAGAUGGUUGGUACUAAGAUUAG